GGGAAUAAUGAUCUGCCAAUAUCUGAUAGUAAUCCCAGCUCGACCAACUUCCAAACACGUCUCACUUCCCUAUUAAUGUGACAGAGUGAUAGACUGAAAUCGAAUCACCGACAUCUUCGAACCUGCCUUAAAGAUUCUGUACUUAUAUGCAGAGAGGAUAAGCACUACAUCUUCCUUCAUCAACAGAAUCUUCCCUGUAGUUUGUCCGCCAAACAAAGACAGCACGAGCUGAAAUGAGUGAACUGUUGACUAGCUUGUUGUCAAAGACGGAUACAUUAACUGCCACCGUACCAGUGACUGUUCCAGGAAUGAAGGAAAUGAUGAUUCUCGGUCAUGUAUAGAGCUGAAAGGAUUCUGGACUUCUCAAGGACAAGAUGAUCCUCACCUCCUCAGGUUAUACAAUUCUUCUAUUUACAUAAUUUGGCAUAUAGUGUAGAUGCUACUACAUUGAAACUUGAAGCAUUAAGAAUGGCAUUGGAGUUUAUGGGAUGCUAAUUUGAUACCGAGGUUGGAGUAGCUUAGUCAGGCAGCUGAGCAUCUUAUCUAAUUAUGUAUAUAUUGUAGAUGAGAAUCGCACCAGGCUACUUGUACUGCUCAUAUUGAAGCUUGAUGCAUUCAGAAUGGCAUCAGACUAUCAGAGUUUGAAAAUCUUUUGGUUAAUCACAUGGGCCGAUGAUGGAGCUGAGUCAAGAGCAUCUCUUCCAAGCGUCUGGACUUUAUUAGAGUUAUUGGGAAGGUAUGCAAGAGGAUGGGGCAAAUGAGCAUGCAUCCAAUACUUGAUCGGAAGUCAAACUGCUAUUCGUCAAGUUACCCAACUCUGAAAUUCACCCUCUCAGUCUACUUCACAAGUUUCCUGAACCAGCUCUGAGUAGAGAGGGUCUUGGGGAAGGAUGGAAAGGGUUUGUGUACUCUUUGCAAGAGGUUUAUGACAAGAAUGGUGCUUUGGAGAAGAUUCGGAGCUUGAAUGGUCACGAUGAUGGCAACUCGAUUUACGAAUCUGUUGUGUUGUUCCACAGCAGAGGUGAGGAAAGAGACGGAUGCCUAGUCGGAGAGAAGAUUUGCUCAGUUUAGGUAGGCAGUCUGAGUUUGGUAACUAGUUGCAUUAUGACUAGUGAGUAGUUGUAAUCACCUAUUGAUUUACUGUCAUUUUGAUCGACAUUUUAUGUAAUUACUCAGUAUUCAGUAUUCUACUUAUCAGGCUUUUGCAUGAAAUUACGUACUCAU
Rosa rugosa (rugosa rose) is the source of this 1224-nucleotide long non-coding RNA. RefSeq lists it as uncharacterized. The record is from RefSeq and is a predicted model, not a curated record. The transcript has 6 exons. Lineage: Eukaryota; Viridiplantae; Streptophyta; Magnoliopsida; Rosales; Rosaceae.